AUACCUUCCAUAUGUGCCCCAGGCAAGUAUACAUCAUCCCUUCUCUCACUUGUUCAGCAGUUAUUUAUUGAAUACUUUAUGCCAGGCACUGUUCUAGGAGCUUGGGAUACAUGGAUGAACAAGGCAGACAAGUAUCCCCAUCCGUAUGGAGUUUACAUUCCAGGGGCAGGAGACAGGUCAGUAAAUUAUACUUUUGUUAGAGAGUGGUAAGUGCUAUGGAGGAAAGGAAAGUUGUUUCUGGAGAUGCAGGGUUGGGGGCAGGUUGUAGUCUUUGAUAGGGUGUUGGGAUGGGCCUCAUUGACAAGGUGAGAUUUGAGCAUAGGCCUGAAGGAGGGGAGGAAGUUCACCAAGCCCACAACCGGGCAGAAAUCACAGCCAGAGCAGAGGUCCCAUGGUGGGAAUGUGUCCGGCCUGGUUGACGAACCACAAGGAGGCCAGCAUUGCUGGGGUGGAGCGACUGAGAGGAAAAGGGAGAGGGAGGGACAGACGGGAGGUCACGAGGUGUGCAGCCAGAUCCUGCAGCCACCCACUGGACUUUGGCUUUAUGCCGAGUGAAGCCGGGAGCCGUGGGAAGGCUCUGAGCAGAGGAGUCGCCUCCUGACUCUUGCUGUGAAAGGGUGGCUAGGGCUGCUGCGUGGGGGAUCUGUACAAGAUGGGCAGAUCAUCCCCGUGCCUCAUGGGCUGCUGUGAAGGUCACGGGGGGACACUGGACAAGGAAAUGCUUAGAAACAAAAGGCCCUGACUGUGGUUACAGGGCUUCCAGGAGAGAGAGCUGAGUGGCUCUGCUCACAACCGUCUUAUUGAAGGGUCAGUGGAGCUCAGGAGAGGGUUAUAAUUUGCCCAGGGUCAUAUGUUCUACAACCAAUUCAAGAUCGGGGACUUCCCACUCUUCUCCCAGGGCAAAUACCAUCUGGCAGGUGGCUAAGUAGUGCAGCCUUUGGACCUGUGAUGGCUGUAGUGCGGCUGACGGGGACUGAGUCCUCCCUUGAAAAUCCAUUCACUCCACAAAUAUUUGUUAAGUGCCGGUUAUGGGCCAGGCACUGAUCUGGACUAGAAGCUGGGACCUAGAGAUAUUGGGAGACACCUGGCAAGGGCUAAGUCCUGGUCUCUGGUGGGGCUGGUUUCUGGUGGGGCUGGUCUCUGGUGGGGUUGGUCUGUCUCUGGUGGGUUUGGUCUGUCUCUGGUGGGGUUGGUCUCGUCUGGUGGGGUUUGGUCUCUGGUGGGGCUGGUCUCUGGUGUGGUUGGUCUCUGGUGGGGUUGGUCUGUCUCUGGUGGGGUUGGUCUGUCUCUGGUGGGGUUGGUCUCUGGUGGGGUUUGGUCUCUGGUGGGGUUGGUCUGUCUCGGGGCUGGUCUCUGGUGGGGGCUGGUCUCUGGUGGGGUUGGUCUGUCUCUGGUGGGGUUGGUCUCUGGUGGGGUUUGGUCUCUGGUGGGGCUGGUCUCUGGUGGGGUUGGUCUCUGGUGGGGUUGAUCUCUGGAGGAGUUGGUCUCUGGUGGGGCUCAGUCGGUCUGUGCAGGAGUCAAGUGUUAGAGGCCACACUACUGAAGGCUGGUGUUGGACUUAGGGUCAAGAGUCCAUCUGGGGCUGGGGUCAGGUCACAGCUGGAGUCAGGCAGCCCAGUCAAGAGGCUGUGGAAAGUCAAGCUGGAGAGGCAAGGCCUGCUGGGGGCUGUGGAGGUCAGGAGAAGGCCACACACCACGGGCCAGACUGUGUAUGGUAGGGGUGGGACCAAGGUGCCACUGAGCUUUUACGUUUAGGUGGCAAAGAAGAUGAUGUCAUUCAUAAAAGCAGGAAGGCAUUAGUUCAUUUGAGGAACAGAAAGAGUGCAGUGCAUCUGAUGAGCGGGGAGAGGCGUUUCAGAUGAAGAGACAGGCUGGGACCAGGUCAUGUAGCCUGGUAGUCUCUUGGGGAAUUAUUCCAAGAACAAUGGGAAGCCCUCAGAGGGCCAGGCAGGAGGUUCUGGGUCUGGUUUGUCUUUGAAAAUUAUGCGUAGCACACAGAUUUAAGGGGGCCGGAGGCCAGGCAUGGUGGCUCACGCCUGUAAUCCCAGCACUUUGGGAGGCGGAGGAGGGCAGAUCAUGAGGUCGGGAGUUCGAGACCAGCCUGGCCAACAUGGUGAAACCCCAUCUCUACUAAAAAUACAAAAAUUAGCCCGGCAUGGUGGUGCACAUCUGUAAUCCCAGCUACUUGGGAGGCUGACGCAGGAGAAUUGCUUGAACCCAUGAGGCGGAGGUUGCGGUGAGCAGAGACCACGCCAUUGCACUCCAGGCUGGGUGACAAGAGCAAGACUCCCUCUCAAAAAAAAAAAGCAGGGAGGGUGGCUGGGGGGCAGGAAUGGGACCAGGAGACCAGUGACGGGCCAAAGUAGUUUAGAGAUGGUGGUGACUUUGAGUGGUGGUGGAGAAGAAGAAGGGGGCAGAUUCCAUAGCUGUCUUGAAGGCAGAAGUGUCAGGAUUUGCCGUGGGAGGAAGGGAGAAGGAGGUGAAGGUAGUGCCCAGGCUUGGGGCUGCGCAAGGCAUGGUGCUGGCCUCCACUGAGAUGGGGAGAUGGAGAACACCUUCUGGAGUAGGUAGAAACCAGUUUUGUUCUGGCUGUCUUCUGCUGUGGCACUCAUCUGUAGCCACCAAGUAGGUGGCUGAGGAUGCACACUGAAACUUCCUAAAGAGAGAAACGAACAUGUACCUUUGUGGGUUAUCAACGUGCCCCCAUACUUAAGAGUGUGGGGCCGGGCGUGGUGGCUCACGCCUGUAAUCCCAGCACUUUGGGAGGCCGUGGCGGGUGGAUCACGAGGUCAGGAGAUGGAGACCAUCCUGGCUAACAUGGUGAAACCCCGUCUUUACUAAAAAAUACAAAAAAUUAGCCAGGCAUGGCGGCACGAGCCUGUAGUCCCAGCUAGUCGGGAGGCUGAGGCAGGAGAAUGGCGUGAACCCGGGAGGCGGAGCUUACAGUGAGCCGAGAUCGCACCACUGCACUCCAGCCUGGGCAACAGAGCCAGACUCCGUCUCAAAAAAAAAAAAAAAAAAAAAAAGAGUGUGGAUGGAGGAGCAGCUCUGAUCAGUGAGGAGGAGGGGCAGGGAGGUGGAAGGAAACCUGGGAGAGGGGCCACCAUAGUCCCAGGAAAGACUUGAAGGACGGUGUGGUCAGCUGUGUCGGAUACCGCUGAGAGGACCAGUCAGACAAGCGCAGAGGAAAGCCCGGUGGACUUGGGCACGUGAGGUCGCCGGCGAAGCUGACAAGAGCAGGCUUGUGAACUGCUUGAGGAUGGGUGGAGCAGCACUGGGAGCAGCGGCAGGAGGUGAGGCAGUGGCUGGACAAGAUGCAGCCCCGGGUGCGAGCAUGCUUGUCCGCAGAGGGAGUGACUCCGUGGGGAGGGAGAGCCAAUGAUGCUGACGAGGGGAGGCAGCAAAGGAGGGGUCCAGGCCGGGUACGGUGGCUCAUGCUUGUAAUGCCAGCACUAUGGGAGGCCGAGGCAGGAGAAUCACUGGAGCCCAGGAGUUCGAGACCAGCCUAGGUAACAUAGGGAAACCCUGUGUCAAUCAGUCAAUCAGUGAGUGGUCCUGCACAGCCCAGGCUCUCUGAUUAAUGCUGCCACCACAGUUCCCAUCCGCUGGGUUUGAAGGGAAAGUGAAACUUCCAAAUCCCACAAAGGCCCUGGCUCCUGAGCCUCACCUCUUUGAUUGAGUGUAAAUUAUUCCCACUUGGCUUCUCAUUUUAUUGUCACAACAAGCCCUGUGAGUUUCAGGGGAUUAAAUGAGCUGCAUAAGCACCAGCUGAGUGCUAGUAAGUGGCAAAGCCACGAUUUGAAGCCAGGUCUGAGCUGUCUCCAGAGCACUUCCUCUCAAUCCCCAUGUCAUACUGCUUCCCGCAGGCUUCUUACUUCGAGCAGUCUUAGGAUCAGGUCACCUGCAAUCUCUGUUCCCAAGGGGAUGGAUUAGGCAGGCAGAUGGGAUUCCUUCCCAAUCAUUGUUUCUUAUGGGCAAUUCCUACCUCUAGUACUUUCGAGACAAACUUAAUAUCAGUCCUCCAGGCUUCCUUCCUACCCAGGAAUGAUGCUUUUUGAGCGUUUCCUCACAUGCCUGACGGUCUACUUACAUGCCGCCAGAGACAGAAAGCUCACUAUCUCCAUGAGUAACCCAUUCUAGGCAGUAGGCUUUGCAUGACAGCUUAGAGUCUAUGCUCUUAAGUUGCUUUGGCUGAAUCUCAGUUCUGCUGCCUACUAGCAUCCUGUGCUUCAGUUUCCUCACCUGUAAAAUGGUAAUAACAGCCUGGCACAGUGGUCCAUCCCUC
Molecule: long non-coding RNA, 4285 nt
Filed under: Homo sapiens (human)
Lineage: Eukaryota; Metazoa; Chordata; Mammalia; Primates; Hominidae
Description: HSALNT0096184
Source: RNAcentral